RNAcentral lists this transfer RNA (65 nucleotides) under Dipodomys ordii (Ord's kangaroo rat). It matches the Rfam family "tRNA". From Rfam's summary of the family: Transfer RNA (tRNA) molecules are approximately 80 nucleotides in length. Their secondary structure includes four short double-helical elements and three loops (D, anti-codon, and T loops). The record is from Rfam by way of RNAcentral. Lineage: Eukaryota; Metazoa; Chordata; Mammalia; Rodentia; Heteromyidae.
GGUGGCUCAGUGCUAGAGCACUUGCCUAGCAUGCAUGAGGCCCUGGGUUCGAUUCCUCAGCACCA